Molecule: ribosomal RNA, 422 nt
Filed under: Fusobacteriota bacterium
Lineage: Bacteria; Fusobacteriati; Fusobacteriota
Description: Fusobacteria bacterium partial 16S ribosomal RNA
Rfam family: Bacterial small subunit ribosomal RNA
Source: RNAcentral
UGGGGGAUUUUGCACAAUGGGCGCAAGCCUGAUGCAGCGACGCCGCGUGAGGGAUGAAGGCCUUCGGGUUGUAAACCUCUUUCGUUGGGUUGAAAGGCCAUGCUUUGGGUGUGGUUGAUUUGAACUGGUAAAGAAGUACCGGCUAACUACGUGCCAGCAGCCGCGGUAAUACGUAGGGUACUAGCGUUGUCCGGAUUUAUUGGGCGUAAAGGGCUUGUAGGUGGUUUGUCGCGUCUGUCGUGAAAUCCUGUGGCUUAACCAUGGGCUUGCGGUGGGUACGGGCAGGCUUGAGUGCGGUAGGGGAGACUGGAAUUCCUGGUGUGGCGGUGGAAUGCGCAGAUAUCAGGAGGAACACCGGUGGCGAAGGCGGGUCUCUGGGCCGUUACUGACACUGAGGAGCGAAAGCGUGGGGAGCGAACAGG